ACUCCUACGGGAGGCAGCAGUGGGGAAUAUUGCACAAUGGGCGCAAGCCUGAUGCAGCGACGCCGCGUGAGGGAUGAAGGCCUUCGGGUUGUAAACCUCUUUCGGCAGGGAAGAAGCGAGAGUGACGGUACCUGCAGAAGAAGCACCGGCUAACUACGUGCCAGCAGCCGCGGUAAU
RNAcentral lists this ribosomal RNA (177 nucleotides) under uncultured bacterium. Its description in RNAcentral is "partial 16S ribosomal RNA". It matches the Rfam family "Bacterial small subunit ribosomal RNA", at positions 335 to 524 of the family's 1533-position model. The record is from RNAcentral.